CUGGCUCAGAACGAACGCUGGCGGCAUGGAUUAGGCAUGCAAGUCGAACGCUCACCGCAAGGUGGGAGUGGCGGAAGGGUGAGGAACACGUGAGUAAUCUACCUCCAAGUUGGGAAUAACAGUUGGAAACGACUGCUAAUACCGAAUGUGGCUGUUGGACCGCAUGGUUUGACGGCUAAAGAUUUAUCGCUUGGAGAUGAGCUCGCGUCCCAUUAGCUAGUUGGUGAGGUAACGGCUCACCAAGGCGACGAUGGGUAGCUGGUCUGAGAGGAUGGUCAGCCACACUGGGACUGAGACACUGCCCAGACUCCUACGGGAGGCUGCAGUCGAGAAUCUUGGGCAAUGCGCGAAAGCGUGAACCCCAGCAAUGCCGCGUGCGGGAUGAAGGUCUUCGGAUUGUAAACCGCUGUCACUCGGGACGAACAAAAUGACGGUACCGAGGGAGGAAGCCACGGCUAACUACGUGCCAGCCGCGGC
This 477-nucleotide ribosomal RNA is filed under the name uncultured bacterium. RNAcentral's name for it is "bacterial SSU rRNA". It matches the Rfam family "Bacterial small subunit ribosomal RNA", at positions 19 to 518 of the family's 1533-position model. The record is from RNAcentral.